RNAcentral lists this unclassified non-coding RNA (213 nucleotides) under Hevea brasiliensis (rubber tree). Lineage: Eukaryota; Viridiplantae; Streptophyta; Magnoliopsida; Malpighiales; Euphorbiaceae. The record is from RNAcentral.
AUGUGAUCCAUUUUAUUAGCAAAACAUUUUAUGGGCUCAAUUUUUUCUUGAAAGAGAUGACGUAACAAGCAAAUUGCUACUAACAGAGGUCAUCUGCUUUCUCCAUGGAUCAAUUUCUUGGUAAAGGGAAAAAAGCAAGUAACUGAGUCGACAGGACAUCACAACGAUGCCAAGGAGCUCUCUGCCUGGACUGCCAUCCCUGUUGGACUGACC